CCUGGCAGCACAAAGAACCCAGAAAAAGUGGAUCUGCCUGGUCCCCAGGCAGAGGGACAUUUCAGGUUGGAACUGCAUCCUCAAGGCUUACCCUCAUCAAAUAGCACUUUCCAGAGAUUCCCCCUAACAUCACUACAAAACUGAAGGAUUUUUAUGCCUCCCUAAGUGCUCAGAAUCACAUAGUCCUGGUUGUCAGAAACCUGUCCUUUUCCUCCUGAAUUCCCUUAUUGUAAAGCUAUACCUGGACUUUAGGUGACCUCCUGGCGCUGUCCUUUGGACUCUGCAGAGCUGUAAAAUCCUCACCCCCUCCCUUUUGCUUGGAUAACCAAGCCAGCAUCUCCCAGUUCCUUCAGAUCACUUGGCCCUUCCUUUCCCUGGGGCUCUGCGGGCUGCUGAGCACCAUCCAGGUGGGAAACCUGACCCCUGGAGCCUCCCUCUGCCCUGGAAUUAGGGGGCAGCUGGGUGCUGGGAAACCACCUCUGAGAAAAAGGCUGAAAAACAAACAAAACCCUGCGAGAGCCAAGGAAAACUGGAACAAAUCUGAGACCUAAACCCAGCCGACACUUUGACUUUUUUUUUAUCUCCCCAGUGGUGUAAGGACUAUAAAAAACAACAUUUCCCAUAUGGAAAAAGGAGCUGCAGUAAACUGAAAAGUUUACAAAAUGAAAAAAACAGGAGAAGCAGUGAGAGAGAGCUGUGGCCACCACAGAGCUGGAAACUUGGAGCACAAGGCCUGAAACAACGUCCCCUUGCAGGAAGCAUGUGGAAUUUGGAGAAGACCACCACAAGCACAAGCCUAAUACCCUAAUAUAGCUCAUGUUUUAUACAUACAUAUAUAUAUAUACACACAUAUAUAUAUAUCUUUGAGAGCAAUGUUUUAACCUUGGAAGAAAUGCCAUGUUUUGUUCCUUGGUGGCUUAGGUGAGGGAACUUUAGCAAGAGUGAAGGGGCUUGUUCUUGACUCUGACUCAUUAAACUGAGAUUGAGUUGGUCCUUCCAAGGCUUGGCCUUAACCUGAGAGAGGACUCCUCCACAAGUCAUAGUCACCCACCACCCAGUGCCAUGAUCUGUAGGUUCUGGUGUCCUGGGGUUUAUGAUUACUGGAGUUUUUCCGUUGUUGAAUGCUUCUGAAGCUACAGCUCCAUUUUAUAUUUAGUUAAUGGAAACCAACUGGAAAUACUCCCCUUGACUCCCAAGGGCCACGCCUCAAAACAUAACGUAUUAAUGGAAUAAACCACCCUGUUAAAUCA
RNAcentral lists this long non-coding RNA (1250 nucleotides) under Cyanistes caeruleus (blue tit). RNAcentral's name for it is "lncRNA (ENSCCEG00000008722.1)". Lineage: Eukaryota; Metazoa; Chordata; Aves; Passeriformes; Paridae. The record is from RNAcentral.